Molecule: long non-coding RNA, 1222 nt
Organism: Aegilops tauschii subsp. strangulata
Lineage: Eukaryota; Viridiplantae; Streptophyta; Magnoliopsida; Poales; Poaceae
Source: RefSeq, a predicted model, not a curated record
CCUGCCAUACGAUACCUUAGCACAAAUCACGGAACAAAUCCAGUGUCACGUCAUCUCUUUAGAUCGUUCGGGCUGUAGCCCCAACACCCGAACGACCACGCUCGCGCACUUCUCUCCCUUAUCCUCUCACUCCACCGCACUAGCCUUUCCCCAUUCUCCUAUCCACUCCUCUCCUGGCUACUCCUCGGGCCAGCAGCAGCCGUCGACGGGGAGCGCCGCUCGCCUUGUGGCGCGGCGGAGCAGGCGGCGGAACAGCCGGAGGAUGAGGAAGCUGGUGGAGGCGCGGCGUGACAGCAGCGGUGCGUGGUGGCUCCCCGAGGACGAUGAAGCGAGCGGAGGCGGCGACUCCCAGUCCCAGGCCAGCGCGGAUCAGCGGGGCUCCGACGCCGUGGGAGUUCGUCGUGGACGCCGACGGGUCGCCUGAGGAUAUGGCUCAGACGGAGGUGGCGCGGCGUGAGCACUCGGCGGCUGGGGCACGGCACGAAUGCAGCUGCGUGGUUGCGCCUGGAGUGCGAGGAAGCGGGCGGGGGCAGCGGCGCUGAGGCCCGCUAGACUCCGGUGGAUGUGGCCCUUGGUCGCCGCCGUCCGAUGGUCUCUUCGUCCGACGAAUCAAGGCCGGAUUUGUAGGGUCCAACGGCGCGGGGUGGCUCUGGUGACCUUGCGCAAGGACGGCGCGCGUGGGGAAGACAACCACCAUGGCCAACCUAGUGGCGUCCCUGGGGCUCAGCAAUCACGAUGGGGUUCGAACUUUGCGGCCCGUGACGAGGCGGCCGUCGGCGCCAGAGAUCGACUCCCCUUGUCAACGUCUCCUUCCUAGAAGAAGAGGAGAAUAUUCUUCAGAGAAUUAUGGCGUUUCUUUUGGUUUGUAACCAUCAUCAAUAACACAUGGGCAACUAUUCAGUAAUCUGUGUACCUUACACUACUUCCUCCUGUUUGCACUGAUGUGUGGAUUCCUCAAAUUUUGAAGCAGCCUGAAUGUUACCAUCAGAUUCUAAUUCACUUUGGCAUGUCUCAAAUUCUGUUAUAUUUUUUCCUAGCUGAUUUCUGAGUCAAGUUGUGAUAAAUUUGUUAACUUAGCUACAUACUGAAGUUAGUUUAGUCCCCCUCAAAAAAAGAAGAAGUUAGUUUAGUUUGGUGUGUACCUGAGGUUCUGCUUAAAAUAGUUACUAUUGUAUUAGACAUAUAUUUGACAUCUUAUUUAGCAAGAUAUUCCUCGAGAAUA